Strongylocentrotus purpuratus (purple sea urchin) is the source of this 555-nucleotide long non-coding RNA. RefSeq lists it as uncharacterized. The record is from RefSeq and is a predicted model, not a curated record. The transcript is spliced from 3 exons. Lineage: Eukaryota; Metazoa; Echinodermata; Echinoidea; Camarodonta; Strongylocentrotidae.
UUCCUCAUGACAAAAAUUUAGCUGUUCAUAUUUAAACACUUGUUCAUCAAAUCUUUCAAACACUUGGUCGCCGAAUUUUUCUGAGGAACAGCCAUAAUACUAGCGUUAUAAUCUAAGUCUGCUGUAGAUCUACCACUAAGUACCAGAGACGAUUCAAAAUGAGUGAAUCUACGCCUUAUAAACAAUGGGAAAAGGUUUAUGUCAGUCCGGAGGCCCGAACGGAAUUGUCCACCCCACCUAUGCCAUACUACUAUCAUAAGCAGUCUGAGGGUUCGUCAGGAAAAGGCGACAGCUCUGGGCAACCGAAAUCAACUGGUAGCAGUGGAAAAUCUGGUGGCGGGGGAAAGAAGUGAUGACAAGUGGAUUUGGGCGUUACCGUGGCUGUUUUCUCCUUUUGCUGGGCUACCUGUAAACAGAAUUAUUAAAAUCCCUCUACUAGAUUGACGUUUGGUUUCUUCUAAAAAAAAAAUAGUAUAGACUAUAGUCAGUAUUGUUCAAAAAUUGACUGAUUGAUUGAAAGAUUGGGUAAUUGAAAAUUAGUAUUUAUUUCGUUCU